This 501-nucleotide ribosomal RNA is filed under the name uncultured bacterium. Its description in RNAcentral is "partial 16S ribosomal RNA". It matches the Rfam family "Bacterial small subunit ribosomal RNA", at positions 30 to 523 of the family's 1533-position model. The record is from RNAcentral.
AUUGAACGCUGGCGGCAUGCCUUACACAUGCAAGUCGAACGGCAGUACGGGUGCUUGCACCUGGUGGCGAGUGGCGAACGGGUGAGUAAUACAUCGGAACGUACCUUAUCGUGGGGGAUAACGCAGCGAAAGCUGUGCUAAUACCGCAUACGCCCUGAGGGGGAAAGCGGGGGAUCGAAUGACCUCGCGCGAUUAGAGCGGCCGAUGCCUGAUUAGCUUGUUGGUGGGGUAAAAGCCCACCAAGGCGACGAUCAGUAGCUGGUCUGAGAGGACGAUCGGCCACACUGGGACUGAGACACGGCCCAGACUCCUACGGGAGGCAGCAGUGGGGAAUUUUGGACAAUGGGGGCAACCCUGAUCCAGCAAUGCGGCGUGAGUGAAGAAGGCCUUCGGGUUGUAAAGCUCUUUUGUCAGGGAAGAAACACCGGCUCUAACACAGUCCGGGAAUGACGGUACCUGAAGAAUAAGCACCGGCUAACUACGUGCCAGCCGCCGCCGUAA